GGGAUGUGGGCGACUAACGUCUGCUCGGGGUUACAGGGCCAGUUGUUCACCAAGGGCUCUAAAAGACAAAUUUGUUUCCUUGAGUCAGUGGACAGCAUGAGUUUGGAGGAUGGAAGAAAAUGGUGUGGCCUUCCAGGCAG
This is a long non-coding RNA of Etheostoma cragini (Arkansas darter), 140 nucleotides long. RefSeq lists it as uncharacterized. Lineage: Eukaryota; Metazoa; Chordata; Actinopteri; Perciformes; Percidae. The record is from RefSeq and is a predicted model, not a curated record. The transcript has 3 exons.